RNAcentral lists this non-coding RNA (30 nucleotides) under Mus musculus (house mouse). The record is from RNAcentral. Lineage: Eukaryota; Metazoa; Chordata; Mammalia; Rodentia; Muridae.
UAGGAAACAUCUUCAGGACACGUUGGAGAC